Molecule: long non-coding RNA, 295 nt
Organism: Helianthus annuus (common sunflower)
Lineage: Eukaryota; Viridiplantae; Streptophyta; Magnoliopsida; Asterales; Asteraceae
Exons: 3
Source: RefSeq, a predicted model, not a curated record
UUGAGUUAUCUGUUUGACCCGUCUUGAUAUUUGAUCACAGAUUAUCUUUCUUCGUCGUUUGAUUGCCGUGAAGAAGGAAUCAUGUGUUAACUACAAACCUUAAUUGUCGAACUCUCCACCGCAAACCCUUUAUUCAGUGAUACACAAAGGAGUUACAAUUGGUUGGAUUUGCAUUCGUGUCGCGCAACUUUGGGAUCAGUGGAUUCAAGAAGAGCAAUUACUGUGGAUCGGUAGUUCAAGAACAAGCAGGAUUACACUCGUGGAUCUUGCUGGAUUUGAGAAGAACAUAAUCAAC